AAUAACCAAAGAUUACUGCAGGGUUAAGAGUCGGGUUACUAAUUACACGAACAUCACCACCACCGGGAGCCCAAGUGUCAUAAACACCGCCAAAGAACAUGGCUUUGAAUACGAGCAAUAAAGCACCCACUCCCAAAAGGAUUAAGUGAUAACCAAUAAUGUUGGUCAUUUGGUUUUUAUCUUUCCA
Non-coding RNA from Geminocystis sp. NIES-3709, 187 nucleotides. The record is from Rfam. NCBI's taxonomy places the organism in Bacteria, Bacillati, Cyanobacteriota, Cyanophyceae, Chroococcales, Geminocystaceae.